This 460-nucleotide ribosomal RNA is filed under the name uncultured bacterium. Its description in RNAcentral is "partial 16S ribosomal RNA". It matches the Rfam family "Bacterial small subunit ribosomal RNA", at positions 338 to 795 of the family's 1533-position model. The record is from RNAcentral.
CCUACGGGAGACUGCAGUGAGGAAUAUUGGUCAAUGGACGGAAGUCUGAACCAGCCAUGCCGCGUGCAGGAAGACGGCUCUAUGAGUUGUAAACUGCUUUUGUACAAAGGUAAACCUACAUACGUGUAUUCAGCUGAAAGUACUGUACGAAUAAGGAUCGGCUAACUCCGUGCCAGCAGCCGCGGUAAUACGGAGGAUCCAAGCGUUAUCCGGAUUUAGUGGGUUUAAGGGGUGCGUAGUCGGAUGGAUAAGUUAGAGGUGAAAUGUCCGAGCUUAACUCGGGAACUGCCUCUAAUACUGUUGAUAUAGAGAGUAGAUGCGGUAGGCGGAAUGUAUGGUGUAGCGGUGAAAUGCUUAGAGAUCAUACAGAACACCGAUUGCGAAGGCAGCUUACCAAUCUAUAUCUGACGUUGAGGCACGAAAGCGUGGGGAGCAAACAGGAUUAGAUACCCUUGUAGUC